AUUUUUGGACGACCGCUGGCGGCAGGCCUAACACAUGCAAGUCGAACGCAUCCUUCGGGAUGAGUGGCGCACGGGUGAGUAACACGUGGGAAUUUACACUUAGGUGCGGAACAACAGUUGGAAACGACUGCUAAUACCGCAUAAUGACUCCGGUCCAAAGAUUUAUCGCCUAAGGAUAAGCCCGCGUCUGAUUAGCUAGUUGGUGAGGUAAUGGCUCACCAAGGCGACGAUCAGUAGGGGGUUUGAGAGGAUGAUCCCCCACACUGGGACUGAGACACGGCCCAGACUCCUACGGGAGGCAGCAGUGGGGAAUAUUGGACAAUGGGCGCAAGCCUGAUCUAGCCAUGCCGCGUGAGUGACGAAGGCCCUAGGGUCGUAAAGCUCUUUCGCCUGUGAUGAUAAUGACAGUAGCAGGUAAAGAAACCCCGGCUAACUCCGUGCCAGCAGCCGCGGUAAUACGGAGGGGGUUAGCGUUGUUCGGAAUUACUGGGCGUAAAGCGCGCGUAGGCGGAUUGGAAAGUUGGGGGUGAAAUCCCGGGGCUCAACCCCCGGAACUGCCUCAAAACUUCCAGUCUGG
Molecule: ribosomal RNA, 577 nt
Filed under: uncultured bacterium
Lineage: Bacteria
Description: bacterial SSU rRNA
Rfam family: Bacterial small subunit ribosomal RNA
Source: RNAcentral